UGCCAGCCGCCGCGGUAAUACGAGGGGUGUAAACGUUAUUCGGAAUUAUUGGGUUUAAAGGGUACGUAGGCGGCCAAUUAAGUCAGUGGUGAAAGCCAGCAGCUCAACUGUUGAACUGCCAUUGAUACUGAUUGGCUUGAGUUCUGUUAAGGUAGGCGGAAUUGAUGGUGUAGCGGUGAAAUGCAUAGAUACCAUCAGGAACACCGAUUGCGAAGGCAGCUUACUGGGCAGAAACUGACGCUAAUGUACGAAAGCGUGGGGAGCGAACAGGAUUAGAUA
This 279-nucleotide ribosomal RNA is filed under the name uncultured bacterium. Its description in RNAcentral is "partial 16S ribosomal RNA". It matches the Rfam family "Bacterial small subunit ribosomal RNA", at positions 506 to 784 of the family's 1533-position model. The record is from RNAcentral.